Molecule: ribosomal RNA, 496 nt
Filed under: uncultured bacterium
Lineage: Bacteria
Description: partial 16S ribosomal RNA
Rfam family: Bacterial small subunit ribosomal RNA
Source: RNAcentral
GACGAACGCUGGCGGCGUGCCUAAUACAUGCAAGUUGAGCGCUGAAGGUUGGUACUUGUACCAACUGGAUGAGCAGCGAACGGGUGAGUAACGCGUGGGGAAUCUGCCUUUGAGCGGGGGACAACAUUUGGAAACGAAUGCUAAUACCGCAUAAAAACUUUAAACACAAGUUUUAAGUUUGAAAGAUGCAAUUGCAUCACUCAAAGAUGAUCCCGCGUUGUAUUAGCUAGUUGGUGAGGUAAAGGCUCACCAAGGCGAUGAUACAUAGCCGACCUGAGAGGGUGAUCGGCCACAUUGGGACUGAGACACGGCCCAAACUCCUACGGGAGGCAGCAGUAGGGAAUCUUCGGCAAUGGACGAAAGUCUGACCGAGCAACGCCGCGUGAGUGAAGAAGGUUUUCGGAUCGUAAAACUCUGUUGGUAGAGAAGAACGCUGGUGAGAGUGGAAAGCUCAUCAAGUGACGGUAACUACCCAGAAAGGGACGGCUAACUACGU